Molecule: small nuclear RNA, 107 nt
Organism: Echinops telfairi (small Madagascar hedgehog)
Lineage: Eukaryota; Metazoa; Chordata; Mammalia; Afrosoricida; Tenrecidae
Source: Ensembl
GUGCUCAGUUCAACAGCACAUACACGCAAAAUGGAAAGGUACAUAGAAGAUGAACACGCACCCUACUCAAAGAUGACACGGAAAUUCACAAAGCAGUCCAUAUUUUA